UACGUAGGGUGCGAGCGUUGUCCGGAAUUACUGGGCGUAAAGAGCUUGUAGGUGGUUUGUCGCGUUGUUCGUGAAAUCUCACGGCUCAACUGUGAGCGUGCGGGCGAUACGGGCAGACUAGAGUACUGCAGGGGAGACUGGAAUUCCUGGUGUAGCGGUGGAAUGCGCAGAUAUCAGGAGGAACACCGGUGGCGAAGGCGGGUCUCUGGGCAGUAACUGACGCUGAGAAGCGAAAGCCGUGGGGGAGCGAACAGG
Molecule: ribosomal RNA, 255 nt
Filed under: uncultured bacterium
Lineage: Bacteria
Description: partial 16S ribosomal RNA
Rfam family: Bacterial small subunit ribosomal RNA
Source: RNAcentral